AUACUCUAAGCCCUACAAAUCUACUAAACUACGAUAAGAAUAGAGAUUUGCAAGAUUUUUAAAAGUGUCUCAACCUUGGAAUUCUCACUAGUAUUGCUUACAACCUUUCUCACGUUGCUAUUGUCACAGAGUGCUAUUUGUUUAUUAAUUAUAUUAUUACUUAAAUCCUCAAAAUCUUGUUGAUCCUAUGAAUUACUUACUACAAUAUUAUCGAAAAUAAAGUUUG
Molecule: long non-coding RNA, 226 nt
Filed under: Capsicum annuum
Lineage: Eukaryota; Viridiplantae; Streptophyta; Magnoliopsida; Solanales; Solanaceae
Description: long non-coding RNA (CANN_LNC017533)
Source: RNAcentral